This is a long non-coding RNA of Lates calcarifer (barramundi perch), 276 nucleotides long. RefSeq lists it as uncharacterized. Lineage: Eukaryota; Metazoa; Chordata; Actinopteri; Centropomidae. The record is from RefSeq and is a predicted model, not a curated record. The transcript is spliced from 3 exons.
CACUGUUGAUGGUGAUGGAUGAUAUGUCACUGUAUGGAGAUUGAGGGGUUUUCUCUCCAAGUUUUACAGCGUAAGAACAUGUCACUUUAACCACAGCAGGUGAACUCUGAUUAGCCAUGUUCAGCAGCUCAGUCCCUGUCAGUGUCUUCACACAGGGGAAGACUUUGGCAGUUUGUUCCUUCACAGUGUAAAUAUAACACUGAGACACAGAAACAGAUGAUGGAGUCUGACAGUUCAAUGUGACUGAGUCUGUCUCUGUGAUCACCGGUGGAUUCA